GGUUCUGGCGUGGCUGGCAGGUGAUUCGAGAGUGUCCAUCAAGUGGUUCUGACAUAGCCUGCCUGUGGUUCCGGCAUGCUCAGCAGGUGGUUCAGGCAUGUCCAGCAGGUGGUCCUGGCAUUUCUGAGAAGUGGUUCCGGCAUUCCCAGCAGUUGAUUCUGGAGUGUCCGCCAAGUGGUUCUGGCAUAGCCAGCAGGUGAUUUUGGCAUGUCCUGCAGGUGGUUCCAGAGAGUCGAGGAGGUGGUUACGGCGUGCUCGGCAGGUGGUUCAGGCGUGUCCAGCAGACGGUUCCGGCGAGUCGAGCAGGUGGUUCUGGAGUGCUCGGCAGAGGGUUCCGGACUCUCUGGGAGGUGGUUCCUGUGUGUCUGGCACAUGGUUCUGGCAUGUCUUAUAUGUAGUUCUGACACGCCUGGCAGGUGAUUCCAGAGUGUCCACCAAGUGGUUCUGGCGUAGCCGGCAGGUGAUUUUGGCAUGUCUGGCAGGUGGUUCCAGCAAGUCGAGCAGGUGGUUCCGGCCUGCUCGCCAGUUGCUUCCAGCGUCUCUGGCAUGUGUUUCUGGCACGUCUGAGAGGUGGUUCCGGCAUGCACGGCAGGUGAUCCUGGACUGUCUGCCACGUGGUUCUGGCACAUCUGAGAUGUGGUUCCGGCAUGCACGGCAGGUGAUCCCGGAGAGUCCUCCAAGUGGUUCUGGCUUAGCCGGCAGUUGAUUUUGGCGUGGCCAGCAGGUGGUUCCAGCAUAUCAAGCAGGUGGUUCCGGCGAGCUCAGCAGGUGCUUCCAGUGUCUCCGGCACAUGGUUCUGGCAUACCCAGCAGGUGAUUUUGGCGUGACCGACAGGUGAGUCCUGUGAGUUGUGCAGCUGGUUCCGGCGUGUCCGGCAUGUGGUUCCGGUCUGUCCUGGAGGUGGUUCUGGUGGGUCUGGCACGUGGUCCGGCACUUCUGAGAGGUGGUUGUGGCAUGCCCAGCAGGUGGUUCCAGAGGGUCCGACAAGUGGUUCUGGCAUAGCCGGCAGGUGAUUUUGGCAUGUCCGGCAGGUAGUUCCGGCGAGUCAAGCAGGUGGUUCAGGCGUGCUCGGCAGGUGGUUCAGGAGGGUCUGGCAGGUGGUUCCGGUCUGUCUCGGAGGUGGUUCCGGCGUGUCCGGCACAUGCUUCUGGCAGUCUGAGAGGUGGUUCCAGCAUGCCUGGCGGGUGAUUCCAUAGAGUCCACCACCUGCUUCUGGCCUAGCCGGCAGGUGAUUUUGGAGUCUCAAGUAGGUGGUUCUGGUGAGUCGAGCAGGAGGUUCCGGCGUGCUCAGCAGGUGCAUCCGGUGUCUCUGGCGCGUGGUUCUGGCACGUCUGAGAGGUGGUUCGGGCAUGCCCGCCAGGUGAUCCCGGAGAGUCCGACAAGUGGUUCUGGCAUAGUCGGCAGGUGAUUUUGGCAUGUCAGAUAGGUGGUUCUGGUGGGUCGAGCAGGUGGUUCUGCUGUGCUUGGCAGUUGGUUCAGGAGGGUCCAGCAGGUUGUUCUGGUCUGUCCGGUAGUGGGUUCCGGCGUUGCCGCACGUGGUUCCGGUACGUCUGAGAGGUGGUUCCCACAUGCCCAGCAGGCGAUUCCGGACUGUCCACCACGUGGUUCUGGCACAUCUGAGAGGUGGUACCGGCAUGCCUGGCGGGUCAUCCCGGAGAGUCCUCCAAGUGGUUCUGGCCUAGCCUGCAGGGGAUUUUGCGUGUCCGGCAUGUGGUUCCGGCACGUCUGACAGGUGGUUCUGGCAUGUUCGGCAGGUGAUUCCGGAUUGUCCACCAAGUGGUUCUGGUAUAGCCGGCAGGUGAUUUUGUCGUGUCCAGCAGGUGGUUCCGGGGAGUGGAUCAGGUGGUUCCAGCAUUCUCGGC
This is a long non-coding RNA of Equus caballus (horse), 1862 nucleotides long. The record is from Ensembl. NCBI's taxonomy places the organism in Eukaryota, Metazoa, Chordata, Mammalia, Perissodactyla, Equidae.